This 252-nucleotide ribosomal RNA is filed under the name uncultured bacterium. RNAcentral describes it as "partial 16S ribosomal RNA". It matches the Rfam family "Bacterial small subunit ribosomal RNA", at positions 524 to 776 of the family's 1533-position model. The record is from RNAcentral.
GACAGAGGGUGCAAACGUUGCUCGGAAUUACUGGGCGUAAAGCGUGCGCAGGCGGUUGUGCAAGACAGAUGUGAAAUCCCCAGGCUUAACCUGGGAACUGCAUCCGAUACUGGAUGGCUUGAAUCCGGGAGAGGGAUGCAGAAUUCCAGGUGUAGCGGUGAAAUGCGUAGAUAUCUGGAGGAAUACCGGUGGCGAAGGCGGCAUCCUGGACCGGCAUUGACGCUGAGGAGCGAAAGCUAGGGAGCAAACGGG